Molecule: ribosomal RNA, 558 nt
Filed under: uncultured bacterium
Lineage: Bacteria
Description: partial 16S ribosomal RNA
Rfam family: Bacterial small subunit ribosomal RNA
Source: RNAcentral
UAAGGAAUAUUGCUCAAUGGGAGAAAUCCUGAAGCAGCAACGCCGCGUGGAGGAUGAAGGGUUUUUAACUUGUAAACUCCUGUAAAGAAGGAAAAAAUUCCCAUUAGAUGGGAAAUGAUGGUACUUCUGGAGUAAGCCCCGGCUAACUACGUGCCAGCAGCCGCGGUAAUACGUAGGGGGCAAGCGUUGUCCGGAUUUACUGGGUGUAAAGGGUGCUCAGGCGGAUUUGUAAGUCAGAGGUGAAAUCUCACAGCUUAACUGUGAAACUGCCUUUGAUACUGCAAGCCUAGAGUAUGGAAGAGAGUGAUGGAAUAUCUGGUGUAGCAGUGAAAUGCGUAGAUAUCAGAUAGAACACCAAUGGCGAAGGCAGUCACUUGGUCCAUAACUGACGCUAAAGCACGAAAGCGUGGGUAGCAAACAGGAUUAGAUACCCUGGUAGUCCACGCCCUAAACGAUGAAUACUAGAUGUUGGCUUCGCAUGAAGUCAGUAUCUGAGCUAACGCAUUAAGUAUUCCACCUGGAAGUACGAUCGCAAGGUUGAAACUCAAAGGAAUUGAC